This is an RNA transcript of Acinonyx jubatus (cheetah), 3064 nucleotides long. It is a transcript of the gene named tubulin gamma complex associated protein 4, with no coding region annotated. The transcript is spliced from 19 exons. The record is from RefSeq and is a predicted model, not a curated record. NCBI's taxonomy places the organism in Eukaryota, Metazoa, Chordata, Mammalia, Carnivora, Felidae.
UGGAGGGGCGCUGCAGGAGGGGGCGACGGAUAUAAGGACUCGAGAUCCGCCGCGGGAAUGAUCCACGAACUACUCUUGGCUCUGAGCGGAUACCCAGGGUCCAUUUUCACGUGGAACAAGCGGAGUGGCCUCCAGGUGUCACAGGACUUCCCAUUUCUCCAUCCCAGUGAAACCAGCGUCCUGAAUCGACUCUGCCGGCUGGGCACAGACUAUAUUCGCUUCACCGAGUUCAUUGAACAGUACACGGGCCAUGUGCAGCAGCAGGAUCACCAUCCAUCUCAGCAGGGCCAAGGUGGGUUACAUGGAAUCUACCUAAGGGCCUUCUGCACAGGACUGGAUUCAGUUUUGCAGCCUUAUCGCCAAGCACUGCUUGAUUUGGAACAAGAGUUCCUGGCUGAUCCCCAUCUGUCCAUAUCACAUGUCAAUUACUCCUUGGAUCAGUUCCAGCUCCUUUUCCCCUCUGUCAUGGUUGUGGUAGAACAAAUUAAAAGUCAAAAGAUUCAUGGUUGUCAAAUCCUGGAAACGGUAUACAAACACAGCUGCGGAGGUUUGCCCCCUGUUCGAAGUGCACUAGAAAAGAUCCUGGCCGUGUGUCAUGGGGUCAUGUAUAAGCAGCUCUCAGCCUGGAUGCUCCAUGGACUCCUCCUGGACCAGCACGAAGAGUUUUUUAUCAAACAGGGUCCUUCUUCUGGGAAUGUCAGUGCCCAGCCAGAAGAGGACGAGGAGGAUCUGGGCAUUGGGGGACUGACAGGAAAACAGUUGAGAGAACUCCAGGACUUGCGCCUGAUAGAGGAAGAGAACAUGCUGGCACCAUCUCUAAAACAGUUUUCCCUACGAGUGGAGAUUUUGCCAUCCUACAUUCCAGUGAGGGUUGCUGAAAAAAUCCUGUUUGUUGGAGAAUCUGUCCAGAUGUUUGAGAACCAAAAUGUAAACCUGACUAGGAAAGGAUCCAUUUUGAAGAACCAGGAGGACACCUUUGCUGCAGAACUUCAUCGGCUCAAGCAGCAGCCACUCUUCAGCCUGGUGGACUUCGAGCAGGUGGUGGAUCGUAUUCGUAGUACUGUGGCCGAGCAUCUCUGGAAGCUGAUGGUGGAAGAGUCAGAUUUACUGGGUCAGCUGAAGAUCAUCAAAGACUUUUACCUUCUGGGACGCGGAGAACUGUUUCAGGCCUUCAUUGACACAGCUCAACACAUGUUAAAAACACCACCCACUGCAGUAACUGAACAUGAUGUGAAUGUGGCCUUCCAGCAGUCUGCACAUAAGGUAUUGCUGGAUGAUGACAACCUUCUCCCUCUGUUGCACUUGACGAUUGAGUAUCAUGGAAAGGACCAUAAAGAUGCUGCUCAGGCGAGAGAAGGGCCUUCUCGGGAAACUUCUCCCCGGGAAGCCCCUGCAUCUGGCUGGGCAGCCCUAGGUCUCUCCUACAAAGUGCAAUGGCCACUGCACAUUCUGUUCACCCCUGCUGUUCUGGAAAAGUACAACGUCGUCUUCAAGUACCUGCUGAGCGUGCGCCGGGUGCAGGCUGAGCUGCAGCACUGCUGGGCCCUGCAGAUGCAGCGCAAGCACCUCAAGUCCAACCAGACCGACGCGGUCAAGUGGCGCCUGAGAAACCACAUGGCAUUCUUGGUGGACAAUCUGCAGUACUAUCUCCAGGUAGAUGUGCUGGAGUCUCAGUUCUCACAGCUGCUGCAUCAGAUCAACUCCACCCGAGACUUUGAAAGCAUCCGAUUGGCUCACGACCACUUCCUUAGCAACUUGCUGGCUCAGUCCUUUAUCUUGUUGAAACCUGUGUUUCACUGCCUGAAUGAAAUCCUAGAUCUCUGUCACAGCUUUUGCUCGCUGGUCAGUCAGAACUUGGGCCCACUGGAUGAACGUGGGGCUGCCCAGCUGAGCAUCCUGGUGAAGGGCUUUAGCCGCCAGUCGUCACUCCUAUUUAAGAUUCUCUCCAGCGUUCGCAAUCAUCAGAUCAACUCAGAUUUGGCUCAACUACUCUUACGACUAGAUUAUAACAAAUACUACACCCAGGCUGGUGGAACUCUGGGCAGCUUAUUUUCCAGUAAAAGCCAUCAUCAUAGUAACAUACUAAAACCCCUGAUGCGGAGAUGGGUGUUUAGGUUUUGGCUGGGCUGAUGCCCUGCUGGGAAGCAGUGUGGCUGUGGUUCCCAGUUCUGACAUGAACUAGCUGUGCAGCCGCAGAGCCCUGCCUGCCUCACCGGCCCCCAGCUUCCAAGUCUGGGAAAGUUUUGGGAUGUGAAAACAUCUGGUUCACAAACUAACAGGCCCAUCAUGUUCCCAAAUCUGUGACAGAAGAUUCAAAACACUCCAGCCUUUCAACAAAUGCCUGCAGACUACUGAGGGCUCUACCUUUUUCUGCUAGAAGCAAUACUACUGAACACCCGUGGGCACAAAUGCUUCCCAUGUGGAAGGGUAUGCCCUUAGGGGAGUUCGUCACUCACCCACCAUGGAAGACAUGUGGUGUCAGCUCUCCCUCUGCCGGCCUUGCCAGAUCCAGUCCACGGAGAACAUCCGUGGGGCACAUCCAUGCAUUGAGCACCUGCUAUGCGCCUAGGUACUGUUCAAGCUGCGAGACCCAGCAGUAAGAACUCCCACUUAUCUCACGCUGGUAAAAGGGCAAUCCUAGCUAUUGACAAUGUAUUAAAGUAGUAUUCUAACAAAGAAAAAAGGGUCCUUAAGAAAACUGAGGUCAAAUUCUUAAGAUUUCAAGUACUGAAAAUUACAGGUCUAAUUAUCCCCUCUUCGAAGAACCAUAGGAGUUGAGGUUCUCCUAACCUGGCCCAACCAUUACUGGUAAUUAUUAAUGUUCAUAUUGGUGUGAACCAAAAUACUCAUUGAACAACUCCCUCCAUCCUGAACAAGAAUGCAGCAAUCCAGCCUCAGUCUGUAGCUACUGAAUCUGGUUCUUAUCUCUGCGUCUUCUACCACAUACUACGUCCUGUUUCCUACAGUUGUGUGCUGAGGAUGACCCCUUCUACUGCUGCCUGUGGAGAAGUUAGCAAACCAUGGCCUGCCACCUGUUGCUGUAAAUAAAGUUUUAUCGGAACCC